UACGUAGGGUGCAAGCGUUGUCCGGAAUUAUUGGGCGUAAAGAGCUCGUAGGCGGCUUGUCGCGUCGUCUGUGAAAUCCCGCGGCUCAACCGCGGGUCUGCAGUCGAUACGGGCAGGCUAGAGUUCGGUAGGGGAGACUGGAAUUCCUGGUGUAGCGGUGAAAUGCGCAGAUAUCAGGAGGAACACCGGUGGCGAAGGCGGGUCUCUGGGCCGAUACUGACGCUGAGGAGCGAAAGCGUGGGGAGCGAACAGG
Molecule: ribosomal RNA, 253 nt
Filed under: uncultured bacterium
Lineage: Bacteria
Description: partial 16S ribosomal RNA
Rfam family: Bacterial small subunit ribosomal RNA
Source: RNAcentral